RNAcentral lists this unclassified non-coding RNA (1579 nucleotides) under Dimorphilus gyrociliatus. RNAcentral describes it as "mARVEL domain-containing protein". The record is from RNAcentral. Lineage: Eukaryota; Metazoa; Annelida; Polychaeta; Dinophilidae.
AAUACUAUUUUUAUCAUUUUUCAUAGAACAAGAUUAGCGAAAUAUAAUAUAUAUAUAUAUAUAUAUAAGCUAUAGGUUUAUGGUUUCUACGAAGACAGACUGACAAAAUCAACCAAUAGGUUAAUAGUUCCGCAUAUAUUAUAUUUUGCAUAAUUGCGAUAUAUUUAUAGUAUUAUCGGCGGUUAAUGUAUUUUACAAAAUUUGUUCUAUAGAGUACUUUAUCUAAAAGGUAAAGCAGUACAUAACAAUAAUAUUAAUCAAUAAACUAUACAACAGUUGGCGCAUGGCUGACUAUAUACUCAAUACUAUCACAAGAUCUCUACUCCGAACAGACUACUAGCUGAAAAUCGUUCUUCGUCUGACGAGAGUUUCCUUGCACCUACCUAUGAAAUAUGGAGAGAAAUCAGACAGUUAUUACCAGUAAGUGCAAUACACUUCACCUCAGUUUCAAGUUUUAUAAAAUACCUUGGAAUACUAUAAGAAUAAACUGUGGAAAACGAAUUGACACUGGCAAGGGGGCGUAUUGAUUAAAUUACGGACUUUUGACUAUCCUAAUGACUAAUAGGGAUUUUUUACUCUUUUUGUAUUAAUUAUAACUAAUGAAUUAGCCCGGAUUUUAACACAUUUUUUUUUCAUUUUUAUUCAGCGACGACGACAACCACGACGGAGGAAAACUCUGGUAUAAUGGAUAGAGCCUAUUACAGAGGUAUUCCUGCUGUUACGAAGGCUUUUGAAGCAAUCUUAUCUCUAAUUGCAUUUAUUCUUAUCAUGGUGGCUCCAUCUUGUGUCAAGACAUCGAUUACAGCUGGAUAUUUCAAGUUUGUUACCAUAACAGCUUUCAUAUUAGUUUGCAUAGUAUGGCUAUUAUUUCUCUGCAAAUUACAAAGAAGAAUAUUUAGGUGUACAUGUAUAAAUUGGCCAUUUUUAAUGUUUGCCUUUUACGGCAUAAUAUGCGUUUUCUAUUUUUUUGGAGACCUUAUUUUGGCUGUUCAAGCCUGCAAUGGAGUUGAAAAAGCUAGUGUAGCUUUCGGUUUCUUGGCCCUAUUUGCAUUUUUAUUCGAUUUUGGUUUCUCCGUUCGAGAUUAUAUAAUGGCUAGGAGAGGCUUGAACAAAGCCAUAAGAGAGACAACGAACGUUGCCGAAGGAAAAUAUUAAAACUGUUAAAAUGUUCAAAAGAAAGUUUGCAAAGUUUGCUACUGCUCAUAUAGAAUGAAUGAUUUAUGAAAGCUACGGAACAAAUUGAAUGUCCGCUAGGGAAAAAAAGCACCAUAUGUACAAAAUAAAGACUAAAAACUGCAUUUAAUAUGCUAAAAAAAAGAAAUCAAUUUUUGCCCCACAUUUUAUUAAUGUAUUUACAAAGUUUCUUCUCAGUUUUGCCAAAUAUGCUUGUAAAAUGUAUAAAUAUAUAGCUCUGGUUCAAUUUGCAAAGAAUUCAUUAAUAGAAAAACAUGCAAAAAACAUACAGUUCGUAGAUUUUUGCAAUAGAAAAAUAGACUUUUUCAUUGUUCUACAAUACACUUCGGAGUUUGAAAAAGUUUAAUAGUUACUUACCAACCGAAUAUCUUGCAGUCAGUUGUCC